This 373-nucleotide ribosomal RNA is filed under the name uncultured bacterium. RNAcentral describes it as "bacterial SSU rRNA". It matches the Rfam family "Bacterial small subunit ribosomal RNA", at positions 521 to 896 of the family's 1533-position model. The record is from RNAcentral.
UAAUACGGAGGGUGCAAGCGUUAUCCGGAUUUACUGGGUUUAAAGGGUGCGUAGGUGGGCAGGUAAGUCAGUGGUGAAAUCUCCGGGCUUAACCCGGAAACUGCCAUUGAUACUAUCUGUCUUGAAUUAUCUGGAGGUGAGCGGAAUAUGUCAUGUAGCGGUGAAAUGCUUAGAUAUGACAUAGAACACCAAUUGCGAAGGCAGCUCACUACGGAUCGAUUGACACUGAGGCACGAAAGCGUGGGGAUCAAACAGGAUUAGAUACCCUGGUAGUCCACGCCCUAAACUAUGGAUACUCGACAUACGCGAUAUACUGUGUGUGUCUGAGCGAAAGCAUUAAGUAUCCCACCUGGGAAGUACGAUCGCAAGAUUG